This 462-nucleotide ribosomal RNA is filed under the name uncultured bacterium. RNAcentral's name for it is "partial 16S ribosomal RNA". It matches the Rfam family "Bacterial small subunit ribosomal RNA", at positions 28 to 507 of the family's 1533-position model. The record is from RNAcentral.
GACGAACGCUGGCGGCGUGCUUAACACAUGCAAGUCGAACGGAAAGGCCCUUCGGGGUACUCGAGUGGCGAACGGGUGAGUAACUCGUGGGUGAUCUGCCCUGCACUUUGGGAUAAGCCUGGGAAACUGGGUCUAAUACCGGAUAGGACCACGGCAUUCAUGUGCUGUGGUGGAAAGCUUUUGCGGUGUGGGAUGGGCCCGCGGCCUAUCAGCUUGUUGGUGGGGUAAUGGCCUACCAAGGCGACGACGGGUAGCCGGCCUGAGAGGGUGACCGGCCACACUGGGACUGAGAUACGGCCCAGACUCCUACGGGAGGCAGCAGUGGGGAAUAUUGCACAAUGGGCGCAAGCCUGAUGCAGCGACGCCGCGUGAGGGAUGACGGCCUUCGGGUUGUAAACCUCUUUCGCCAGGGACGAAGCGCAAGUGACGGUACCUGGAGAAGAAGGACCGGCCAACUACGUG